UCGGCCGCACAGCUACGCGGUAGGCUAUUGGCCCUCGCGGGAGGCGCGGGGAGAUGACAUAACGGGAACCAUUUUGGAUAUUAUUCAGUUUUGUGCGGUGCUUGGAAGGUACUUCGUCAAUUUCGAACUUCGAUGAUUUUUGACUGCCUUUGCUCAGAAGAGCUGUUGGAAAGGUCGUAAUACCGCAGUUCAGAAGAAAACCAACAGACCGUCCCAACCGAGAAGAUGCCUCCUCUUGAAGCGGAUAUACCAGUGGUACCCGUGGAAAAACAAGAUAUGGAAAGUAUUAAGCGUCGUAUAAUAGAGGAGAUUAAAGACCUGUGCUUAGUGAUGAGGAAAGUUAUGUCAGAGCACUUGGAAGGCUUCAGGGAGUUCGAGUUAACAAAAAUGUGUAAGCCGGAUUGGCCACCAAGUGAGACAACCAAAGUAAAUGCCAAACAAGAGGAUGUAGAGAAAAGGGGAGAUGAAAUCAAGACAAGAGGAGAAAAAGAGAAGGGGGAUCCAGGAGAAACAGCCUAUGCAUAAUAGAAAUACCUGAAACAGGACAGAGCAAAUGAAGCUGAAAUAAUAAAACUAACUAACUAACUGAGGAAACUUUUCCAGAGUUGAAGGUCUGCAAAUGGAAAAGGCUCACAGGGUACUUUUAAAAAUUUAAUGAAAAGGAAGCAACGCCUAGACAUAUUCUGGUGACUUUUUAAAAUUUCGAGGAUAAAGAAAAACUUACAGAUAUCCAGACAAAGAAAGCAGGUUACCGAGAGAGCUGCAAAACUCAGGCUGCCCUUAAGGUUUUUCUUGUGCAGUUCUAAAUGGCGGAAGACAAUGGAACGGUAUCAACAAAGUUUUGUGGGUAAAUCAUUUUGAACCUGGAAUUAUAUACCCUGCCAAGUUAUUUAUUUAUUUAUUUUUCUGUUUGCAGGCAAUUGGAAGAUAGAUAUGCAGAGGUUAAGAAAAUAUAUAUCAACUAAGAACCUGCUCUGAAAAUCUUGCUGAUUUACUGCAGCCGGUAGAGAAUGUGAAUUAAAAUAAGUAGGGAGGCAAUUGUAUGAAAGAAUUAAUGGUAAGCAUUAAAACUAGUUAAAGAGCAUUGCAUUUCCUUUGUUACAUGUAAGGUAAUAAAGGUAAAUAUAAAAAUAGAUUUGUAAGCAGCAUGUAAAAUUUUUAACUUUAUAGUUUUAAGCUGCCAAAAGGCAAGCCAAAUACUCAAAUGUAUUGGUCAAAUAUUGUUUUAUUUUUGCCAUGUAGUAUUGUAGCUAAAAACACAUGUUGUUAAGAAAGAAAAGGGCUUUGUCACUGUGGAAAGGACAUGUACAAUAAAAUCUGACAAAAGUUGGAAAA
Molecule: long non-coding RNA, 1335 nt
Organism: Marmota monax (woodchuck)
Lineage: Eukaryota; Metazoa; Chordata; Mammalia; Rodentia; Sciuridae
Exons: 2
Source: RefSeq, a predicted model, not a curated record